AGAAAACUGUCCCAAACCCCCUGCCCGUCGUCCGGGGCCAGGGCCGAAGAGGCCUGCCAGAAACUGAAGCUGCACCGGGUGGUCCUGCUGUGGUCCCGGAGGCUGGCCCAGCACCGGCAGGCAGACUCUUUCUCCCAGAAAAGGAGGCUGCGGAUUCUUCAGAACGCCCUGCAGCAGUGGCGGUGGAAGGCCCAGGCAGCAGGGUCAUGCCCUGCCAGCUCCACUGACUGCCCCCUGGAGCCCUUUGCUGGCUCUCAGGACUCGGAGGAGCAGCCCCCCUCCUCAGGAUGCUCCGGCAGUGCUCCAAGUGCCCCCAGAAGCUCAUCAGAGGGGGUCCACAGCCCGACUGAUUGCAGCAGCUCCUUCCUGAGCCCAGCAGGGGAUGAGGUGCUGCCCCUGCGCUUGAGGUCACUUUCUUUGGAGGCCCCGGACUCCUGGAGGAUCUCCUUCCCUCUUGAGUGAGCGCUGAGACCGACAUCUGAGCCAAUUUUUGUCCUGGUCUCAUCCCCAGCCCUUAGCACAGUGCCCGGCAUUCAGUAGGUGCUUAAUAAGUGCUUUAAUCAUGUCAUGACUUGGCCUUAGGGUGCUGGUACCUCUCAGUUUGCAGGUGCGAAGGGUGGAGGUAAUUUUGUUCUCUACCUGCCUCCUACCCCCCACUCAAGCUCCUGUGAGCCCCUCCUUUGCCUGGUCCUCUGGGUGACCAUUGAGAGACGGAUCAGGGAGUAGCCGAGGGACCCCACCCCCACCCCCUGCUCAGGUGGGCUGCCCAUGGGCAAAGCCUUCCUUCCUCUGAAAAAUGGUGGCAGGAAUUCAAUUUAAAAACAAACCCUGGCUACCUCCCAGAAUGGGUUUCCAUCAUCCCCAAGGAAGGGGGCUCUUCACUCUUUUGCUCGCUGUCAGGGCGGUCCCCCAUCCUUGCCCCUGGGCAGCCAGUGGCUGGGUAGCUUUGCUGCCUUACUCUUUCCUAGGCAAAUGUGGCCCCAGCUCUGUAACCAGCAGGAUCCUGGACCCAGGAGACAGCUGUUGGCCCGCCUUCCUCCAGGAGAAGAAACGGGCCCCCUGGGAAAAGCUGUUCAGGUUCCCAGAGACCCCAGCCACUUGGAUGCCCCCCAGCAAGAGAUAAGGUGGCAGCAGGGGGCUCAAGAAGCCCCAGAACCCAAGCCGCAUUGGCAGGUCACACUCCAGAUCUGGAUCCUCACUGACCCAGUUGAGUUGACCGACCCUCAGGGACAGGACUGGAGGACAGCUGGGAAUCAGAUCCCCCGCUCCAGGCAGCAGGGUCUCCUGAGCUCUCCCUGGGCCCACCAGGAUGCAGCACUGCCCACAGGGAUGCCGAGGCAUCAGCUGACCAAGGACAAGGAGGGCACCUUUGUGGGCACCAGACCCAGUGUCCUGCACCCCCAGAGACUGGCCUUCAGAGGAAACCACGUCCUGGGUGCAGAUCCCGACACUCAACGCCAGCAGGCCGGCAACUACUGGACGAGGGCCACAGCCUUGGCUCCAGACAAGAGGAAAUCCCACAGCCACAUUGGACAGAGGAAGAUGUUAGCAAUUCUGGGUGGCCCAAAGCAGAACUUUCUGCUGCCUUCUUUCCCGUGUUUGCCUCUCCACUGUAGACGGACCAGCCAGGAGAAGCUGGGGAAGGCUCCUAGAGAACCAGCAGGCAGCGCCCGGUCGGUCCGGAUCCCCAGGAGCAGAGGACGCCCGAGAGCAGUGGUGCUGGAGGAAACAUGGCUAGAGAGAAAGUACCUCCAGAGGUGGAGACACAAGGUAUUGCUUCAAAGGUUCCAUGGCCAGCAAAGGAGGAGGAGGCUGGCGGAAGUCUGGCAAUGCUGGAUAGGAGCUCAGGGAUCAGAGCAGCUGGCUCGGACAUUGGUGAGCCUUGGUGGAAAGGAUCAUUGAAUUAUAGCAUCAUAAAUCAGAAGGGACCCAGCAUCAUUUAUUUUAGGCCGGCCAGCUCCAAUUCCAGUUUUUUGUGUGUUUUUAAUUUUAUUUCCCCCAAUUGCAUGUAAAAACAAUAUUUAUAUUUAUUUUAAAAUUAUGAGUGCCAAAUUCUUUCCCUCUUCCCUCCCCAAUUUGAAAUGGAUAAUCCACGUGCAGGCGGGCAAAAACGUAUUCCCCUUUCUACUUCUAGUCUUUAAAGGUACCAAAUAGGUUCUGUUGGGAUGCCACAGGCCUUUUGCACCUGCUGGGACUCCUCUCAUCCCUGCCCGUGCUCCCUAGAACUGCUAGAUCAGGAUUCGCCCAGGUGACUCCCCCAGGUGAGCCUUCCUCCUGACCUCAUGUUGCCCUCGUACAGGUUAGGCAGCGGCGGCUGGAAUGGGGCUGGAGGAUGUGGCGCAGGCGGUGGCUGCAGCUUCAGGCGGCUCUGUGUUUGCGAGAAGACCACAGAGUCCUCUCUCAGGUACCCAUGACAACCAGGUGAUGACCCUCGGACCAAGGACGCAGGUGCUUCUAGGCCUGCGGUGGGACCCUAGCUUCUCCUCUCCCGGGACUGUUCCCCUGCAGACCUGCUGCCCUUUGCCCCAUCCCAACGCGUCCCAGAGGGACGUUCGCUUCUGUUGCGUUUGUUAAAGGAGUUCAGAAGAAACUUUUGAAUUUCAAGCCCCAACUUCUCUCCUCAGACGUCACCCAAGAUUGCCCUUGUCCAGAAAAGUUCUGCAGGUCCUCCCAGCCCUUCUCCCCAUCCCCAUUCCAGCUGUCUGGCUAGUGGGAGCCGGCGCCCCCCUUCCCGGGCCCAUGCCAUCCUGAGCAGUUUUCCUCCAUGUUUCCCCAGAUAUUCUGGGUUAAUGCAUUCUGCCUUGGCCCGCUGCCUUCUCAAGGGUGGAGGGGCAUUUUAUUUAGAUUUCCUAAGGGGGAAGGGCUAGAACUCAAGGACAGCUGUUGCCUCCUCUUAGCAUGGACAGUCUGACCCUGAGGCUGGGCAGGGAGCCAGGGACAGAACUAUCUAAAGAUAGGAUUUCAUUCCCCAUUACCCUUCUGCCCUUGGUUUCAGGCCUUUGGAAGAUGGUACCAGCGCUGGGCAGCCCGGGUGCCCGGGAAAGGGAGCACGGGCCAGGGAUCAGGGGCCAGCGUCGUAUCCCAUUAGUCACAGCCCGUAGGAGUGGGGGGCAGGACCUGCUCAGCCGUCUCUGUCAGGGGAAGAAGUCCAGCCCUGCCCCCAUCCCAUUCUACCCACCAGGGCCGACAAAGAAAGUCCAGCAAACUCAUCUGAUAAAGUUUUAAUGAAAAAUAGCCUCGGGGCAGAAACCCUGCCUUUGACAGACAAUAAAGUACUAUUCCUUUCCCAGUCUUCUUCUAGGUUGAAUCUGUGCCCUGCAUUGGAGGGCCCAGCCUACUCUGGGCCAGAUUUGGAGCAAUAUAUUUCAGUUUAUAGGUGUGACCUUUAACCGGAGGGGACCAGAAACUUGCCAUGUGAUAGAAAAAACCCAAAACUUGGGGAUCCAGAACAUAACUACCUUCAAAUGCUUUUAUGGAGAGAAGGAAUGCGCCUCAGAGGGGGGGAGAGGAGAGAAGAGCUGGCUCCAGGCAGAUUUAAACUCGCCCCAAAGGCUGGGCGACUGCAGCCGAGACAGAGGCUUCCAAGUGGCCUGGGCUUGUAAGCAGAACUUGGGAUGCUCUAAGGGGAUCCUGUGUAGGCCAUUGGUCUAAAACGACCACCAAAGUCCCCCCGCUGUGAUCUGGGGAGCUCCCACCUCCAGGGUCGGUGCUGGCUGGAACUGGGGGGUCACCCUUCCCAGGUUCUGCUUUGCUGCAAGUUUCCUUCUGUCCACCCCCCUUUCCUCCCUAGCUAGGGUUUCUUUCUGCUGACCUAGCACAGGCUCUAAGACAGCUGAUCUCAGCUCUAGAAGGGGAGGGGGUGGAAUGGGAGUGGGGAGGAUGGAGAGAGGCCCUUAACCCUGUAGCUGCCAGAUUGCACGAUUGACCCAAGUGUCAUGGAAAGUGCUAGUUGCUGAUAUUCAUUCACACACGAGACAAACGAGGAGAGGAAGGAGCGGGUCAGACCUGAGCAUAGUAGAUAAAGAGGUAUAAAAAAAGCAGCAGAUAUCAGCCAGGGUCGGUCAAAAGGCCCCCUGAGAGAAUGCUGGCGGGCCCAGCAGGGAAGGAAAUGAGGGGCCCCAAAGCUUCCCAGCCACGUGACCGGCUCCUUUUGGUCUAGCACUGACCCCUUUGCCCUCCAGGGUCAUAGCUCUUCUCCUCCUCUACCUUCUAAGACCCCUGAAGAGGAAAAAGGGCCCCUAUAAAUGCUUUGGAGUAGCUUGAAACCCCAUAAGGCGUUUUGUUUCAGAAGGGGAGUCUGGAAACAAAGCAGCUUAUGAGGUUAGUGUAGUGCAGAGAGCCAGUCCUGGAAUCCAGAAGGCGAGAGGGAGAGUCCACCUUGGGAGUUUCCGGCCAGUCCAGAAAGUAAAAAUGCCAGUAAAUAUGGCAGCCUCGAACAAGGCUCCAGGGGAAGGGAAGCAUUGCUCCAUGGGAGGCAGAAGAGUUCCUGCUGAGCUCUGCUUUCACAGAUGGGGAAACCGAGGCAAAGCCCAGCAUCCCUGGGAGGAGGCGGGGCAUUUCCAGGCACGUCUGGGACUGACCCUGCUUGUGGCCAGUUCUUUGGAAGGCCAGCACUCCAGCCCUGUGUUCAGGCUCACUUCCCCUCCCCAGGAGAACUGAGCCACUGGCUCUCCACGGCCUGGAGCAGGGAUGUUGCAGGACGGAGUCACUCCCCAACAAAAGGGGGAAAUAGUAUACGUAGAGUGUGGGGGAAAUCCCACAGGCCUUGAUAGUGCGGAACAGACUCAGGGCAAAUCCAAGCACAGAGGGGUGACCAGUCAGCUGCCCCCCCUGGGGGAGUGAUGGGAGCCAGGGCGAGGGUGAUGGGAUGGGAUGGAGAAGAGAACACUGGAGAAUCCUCGAAGGAGGGGAGUGGGGGGAGAGGAGCCUGGGGAGCUCAGGAGUCAGGCUGAGGAGGGCAAUGGGGACGAUUCCCUGAGCUUCCCCGUCUCUCACUGAGGGUCAGGCCGGCUGAGGAGCUCAAAGGUGUCUUCUAGGACCUGCCACAAACAGUUGUCCAAGGGGAACUCGUUAUCCACUAGGUUGACCAGGUGAUAGUUGUCGUGGAUAUACUGGAUGAUCAUCCGCGAGGGGGAUUCCUCUUCAUACAGUUUCCCCCAUUGCUCAAUCCACAGGGCAAAGGCCUCAUCCUAGACACACAGAGGCAAGGUCAGUGGGAGCCGGGCUGGGGCUGGACAAGGGGCAGGGCCGGAGCCCGACAUCCCUCCUCUUCUUCAUUGCCCCUUCCCUCCCAUCCCCCACUUGGCAAGAUGGCUGAGAGCCCAGAGAGCCUCAGCUAAGGAGUAAACUCCCCUUCUCAAAAUGCCACUUGAGCAGAAAGGGAGGCCCUGGCAGCCCAAGGAACGUGGCGAUAAAUGUGGAAAUAUGGCUAGAAGAAUUGCACGUUUAACAUGAUGUCUGGGAUAGGGGGAGCCGGGGAGGGAGGGAGAAACAUUUGGAACACAAGAUUUUGCAAGGGUGGAUGGGUGUUGAAAACUAUCUUUGCCUUGCAUGUAUUUGGGAAAAUAAAAAGCCAUUGUUUAAAAACAAAACAAAACAAAACAAAACAAAACAAAAAAAAAAAAAACCAAAAAAAAAAAAAAAAACAGGAACCGGACUGGCUGGGAAGGUAGGUCAGUUUAAAGUGACUGCAGACAAGUUUUCCCAGCUUCUCAGGUCACCCUCUCCCCAAGCGGAGUCAGAGCUCCUCACCUCGGAUGUCCGGUCUGCCAGUUUUGCAGAGGGCGGCCAGCGAUUGUGAGUGCAAA
Sarcophilus harrisii (Tasmanian devil) is the source of this 5807-nucleotide long non-coding RNA. The record is from Ensembl. NCBI's taxonomy places the organism in Eukaryota, Metazoa, Chordata, Mammalia, Dasyuromorphia, Dasyuridae.